This 73-nucleotide transfer RNA is filed under the name Jeotgalibacillus malaysiensis. RNAcentral describes it as "tRNA-Arg (TCT) (tRNA-Arg-TCT-2-1)". It matches the Rfam family "tRNA". From Rfam's summary of the family: Transfer RNA (tRNA) molecules are approximately 80 nucleotides in length. Their secondary structure includes four short double-helical elements and three loops (D, anti-codon, and T loops). Lineage: Bacteria; Bacillati; Bacillota; Bacilli; Caryophanales; Caryophanaceae. The record is from RNAcentral.
GCCCCUUUAGCUCAGUGGAUAGAGCAACAGGUUUCUACCCUGUCAGUCGGGAGUUCGAAUCUCUCAAGGGGUA